Molecule: ribosomal RNA, 490 nt
Filed under: uncultured bacterium
Lineage: Bacteria
Description: partial 16S ribosomal RNA
Rfam family: Bacterial small subunit ribosomal RNA
Source: RNAcentral
AGUGAACGCUGGCGGCAGGCCUAACACAUGCAAGUCGAACGGCAGCACAGGGUAGCUUGCUCCCUGGGUGGCGAGUGGCGGACGGGUGAGGAAUACAUCGGAAUCUACCCUGUCGUGGGGGAUAACGUAGGGAAACUUACUCUAAUACCGCAUACGACCUCCGGGUGAAAGCAGGGGAUCGCAAGACCUUGCGCGAUUGGAUGAGCCGAUGUCCGAUUAGCUAGUUGGCGGGGUAAAGGCCCACCAAGGCGCCGAUCGGUAGCUGGUCUGAGAGGAUGAUCAGCCACACUAGAACUGAGACACGGUCCAGAAUCCUACGGGAGGCAGCAGUGGGGAAGAUUGGACAAUGGGCGAAAGAAUGAUCCAGCCAUGCCGCGUGGGUGAAGAAGGCCUUCGGGUUGUAAAGAACUUUUGUUGGGAAAGAAAACGUUCCGGUUAAUACCCGGAGAGAAUGACGGUACCCAAAGAAUAAGCACCGGCUAACUUCGUG